RNAcentral lists this transfer RNA (73 nucleotides) under Alistipes sp. RNAcentral describes it as "tRNA-Gly". It matches the Rfam family "tRNA". Rfam says of the family: Transfer RNA (tRNA) molecules are approximately 80 nucleotides in length. Lineage: Bacteria; Pseudomonadati; Bacteroidota; Bacteroidia; Bacteroidales; Rikenellaceae. The record is from RNAcentral.
GCAGUAGUAGCUCAGUUGGUAGAGCAUCGGCUUCCCAAGCCGAGGGUCGCGGGUUCGAGUCCCGUCUACUGCU